RNAcentral lists this long non-coding RNA (6410 nucleotides) under Acyrthosiphon pisum (pea aphid). RNAcentral's name for it is "uncharacterized LOC103309210". The record is from RNAcentral. Lineage: Eukaryota; Metazoa; Arthropoda; Insecta; Hemiptera; Aphididae.
UCGUCCUACUACUGUGUUAUACCUAUCUGCCUAGUGAUGUUUAAAUUAUCUACGCUUAUUAUACAAAUAUACAAGCACUUACCUUAACCGCUACAUAUUUUUGUUGUACAUUCAACCAUGGCAAUUGACAAUAAAUGAAUCGCGUAUAUCUAACAGGUAGUGUAUAUUAUAAUUAUUACUAAAACAGCAAUACGUCAAAACAUAAAUAUAAUCUUGUUAACUAAAACAAUUUAGGACAGUGGAACUGCGUGAAACGGUGAACAUUACAAGAAUCAGCGAGCAAUAUAGUUUAAGAAUACCAAUUGCAGGAAAUUUUUUUAAAUCUCAAUACAAAAUAUGUGGAUUUUGUUUAUAAAAGACUGAGUGUCAUACCCAACGGAUGUGGAGGUGGAAAUGGGUAAUGAACUCACGCCCACAGAAGCACAAGAACAACCAAAAUUAAAAUGGGUGGUUAAAGAAAAAACUUAUUACACAGUCAUAAUGCACAGAUGUCUCAAGCAAAUCAGAAAUUAUUACCAACCAAUUUACACAUUGGUUGGUAAUGAACAUAAUAUAUGAAGAUAAUAUAGAAUCGGGAGACACAAUCUGUGAUUACAUUGGGUCUUGUCCACCCCACGGGUCAGGUUUUCACAGAUACAUGUUCCUGGUGUACCAAGUACCAACAACCUGCAGGGACAUUGGUAAAAGUUAUUUUUAUAGGUCAUAUUUAGGUAUGACAUGCCAUUGGAUUGAUCCAAAAACUCUUGAGAGAGGAUCUUGUUUGUUGGCCAUUAAAUGAAUGCAGGGUAGUCAUACGUAUGAUGUAUUAGCCAAAGCAAUGGAAACUGUAUAUUAUUUAGAGUUUAAUAUCAGUGACAAAGUGAUAUAUACAACUACUGAUAAUGGUUCAAAUGUUGUCAAAAGUUUCAAAAUGUUUGGCCAGUCAUCGGAGAAUCAACCUAUUUAUAACCCAAAAGAAAAAGAAUUUAUUAAUACAUUGAUAGAAAAAAAUGAAGAUGAGAAAAAUGACAAUGUUGAUAUUGAAGAGGAAGGCAUUGACUUUUCUAAAAUACCAAUUUAUGAAGUUUUGAAUAAAGAUUGGGAAGAUAAUAUGCUUUAUAAUUCGCCCAAACACCACCGUUGCGCUUCACACACUCUAAAUUUAAUUGCAACAUCAGUAAGCAACAUUAAAAUAUAUUUUAUUGGAUAAUAAUUAUUUUUACUUUUAAAGCUUUUUAAGUAAAAUAAAUAACUGAUGUACAUAAGGUAGGCAAUAUUGAUUUUUCAAAACAAACAUCUGUUAAUACUUAGUAUAAAGAAUACUUGAUUUAUUUGUAUUUUUUUUGGAUUGUUGGUCGACUUAUUAUUUUAAUUAACUGUUGCGGUUUCAAGACAUUGAAAAAGCUUUAAGAUGCUAUAGCAAUACAAAUGUAACCAACAAAUUUUCACUGGCAGCCUAUAAAAAACAAAGUAGACCAACGUUUUCAAAAUGUCAAGCUAUUUGGAACAAGCAGAACCAUUCCAGUCAAAUGGCUGACAUAAUUAAAACAAAUUCGGAUGUUUAUUUAAAAACUCCAAAUGACACUCGUUGGAAUUCUUGGUUUGAUUCUACUAAAUUCCUUAUUACUCAUUUUAAAAUAAGUCCUUCUAUAUUUUAUAAAGUAUAUGACAGCCUUACAGUUAAUCGUUUUUCAAAAGCGGACAUAGAUUUUUCAGAUGUGUAUAUUUUAUUGGUAAUGGAACCACUAUGCGUGUGUCUUGAUAUAUUGCAAAGGGAUAUGUAAAGGGAUGUAUUUUUGUUUUUUAUUGCCAUCCAUCUCAUCACUUAUACAAAAAUAUAACCAUAUUUCUUAAAAAUAAAUUAAUGUUUUAUGAUUUUUUAGUUAUUUUGCUUAAAAAUAGUGUCAAAAAACGUUUUGAACAAUUUUUGAUUGAUACAUUUUUAUUAUCUGCUGCACUUUCUCAUCCUUAUUUUAAACAAUCGGGUUUGGGAAUGUUUGAACGACAAAAUAUCUCAGAAUCUGAAUUAUCAGAGUGAUGAUGAUACAAAUAAUUUUUCGAUUGGUCCAAAAACAAAUCAAAAUCAACUUUUCUUUUAGAACAGGAAUUAUCCAAUGUUUUAACCAUAAAUUAUAUUCCUUGAUUGAAACACCAACAAUUCGAAAAGUGUUUACAAAGUUCAAUACACCACUGCCAAGUGGUGCUGCUGUAGAAUGUGUCUUUAUUAUUGGCAGUGCUGUGUUGACUAAAAAAAGGGUAGAAAUGAGUGAUAAAAACUUUGAGAACAUAUUAAUGUUAAAAUGUAACAAACAUAUAUAAUAUGUAAUUAUUAUUUAUAUGACAUAUUUAUCUGAAAAUAUAUAUAUUGGCAGAAAAAUUACCUAAUAGUUUUUAUGGAAAUAAGUUAUAACUUGUUGACCGUAGGAAUGAAAAAAUGUUCGUAGUGACACAGAUUCGAAUUGUAGAUUUUUCAAACAUUAAUUUACAUGGCAACAAUAUAUUAUAUGGGUGCGAUCAUUAUUUAUAAAAUUUUCUUUUUUUGUUAUACUGAUUAUUAAUCAGUAUUCUUAAUCAGUGAUUAAGAAUACAAAACUAAAAGUUUUUUUAUUCUUUAAAGAAAAUCUAUAAUUUGUAAAUUCGGGAAACAAUACUAGAAUUACGUAUGCCCAAAGAAAAUUAGAAUAUACAAAUUCUAAUUAUUUUUGCUGUUUUGAAGGGUUAUGUGGAGUUGCGGUGCACUAUGAGUCGUGAGAUAUUUUCAUAAAAACCCGGUCGAAAUAUUAUAAUAUAAAGAUAAACCAAAAUUUGAAUUUUUUUUUCUUUGUGAAAUAGAAACGAUAAAAUCAAAUCAUACACACACACAUGGGCUACGCAUAUCUAUGAAUGCUUAAUAUAAACUGUACCUACAGUAUUUAUAAUGAUGCUUAGUUGAACAAAUCCUUUAAUAAUACCUAUGUUAUACGGCGGUUGAUUGUUACAACUGAUGCGCAAUAUUAGUCAUAAUUUAUAGUCAUAUUAUAUAAUCAUUAUUCAUAAUCCAUUUCUGAAAAUGUCCUGAAUUAAGAAGCAGAGUUUGAAUCUUCGUUCCAGGCUAUUUAGUUCUUACAGUCCUUCUGGAUCUAACAGCAGGUAAGUCUUCAUAACGAUUGACAAUCUAUUUAAUAGAAGUUUACAUAGGCGUGUCGACAGGUCAUGGCAGCUGUUAUGCACAGGCAUGACCUGCGAAAUUUGAUCCAAUUUAGGUAUAUUAUAAAUUGCGGUGCAUAAUAUAAACAUUUCUAUCUAAGUUUCUGAUUUUGUACUAAGCUAUUGGUUUUAUACAGUAUAUAAUAGUAUAGUUAUACUCUCCGGUGGUAUGGAAACUGCUAUCUGUGCUAUACGUGUGAAUACUCCAGUGAGUUAUAAAUCAUAGUCAGCAGAUGGCGUGGCCAGUUUGCUUACGCUCUUUUCACAAUAAUAAUAUUAUAUCGAUGCGAUGUUCCAGUAUUACGAUCAUAAUAAUAAUAUUAUAAGACAGUAUUGAUACAGACCUGUUAAAACGGUAUUCCUUAAUUUAUGGAUAUAAUACCUAAUUAAUGGCUUAUACAUACACAAAAAAGUGCCUUUUUUCUCAUUUUUAUUUUACAAUAAUAAAACAUCAAUAAUAAUUUAUACUAUCGUUCAAUUAGAACACAUCGACGGAAUAAUAUUAUAUUAUUUAACGAUCGAAUUGUUUGGUUAUAAAUUAAUAUCACAGGUGGCUUAUCGUUGAAAUGUCGGGGGUGAUGUGCAAAAUGUUUUUUCGGGACCUAUUUAGUGGGUGUUAGGUGUUACUUUAGGGUCAGUCCGAAGCUGUCCGAUUUUAAGACUAUACCUAUUGAUGAAUCUGAUAGUUAGAUGAAUACAUUAUAAGUACCUACGAAUCCGAUAAUUAGUUUUUGCAAAAGGCCCCGAAGCCCCCGAACCGCAUUCAGGCUGGACUUCAAUAACUAUAGAGUAUAUUAUACCAGUGGUCACCAAUCAAUAUUUUUAAGGACCGCGUUAGGAAUAUGGAAAUUGUUUGAAGGCGAAAAAAAUUGUCUGAUGUCGGUAAAAUCCGAUGAAUAAAAAUGAUAAACACUGUAAGGUAUAAUAUUAUCAGUUUUAUUUUUUUAUUUAUCUGCAGUUUUCGCUGUAAUUAUUAUCUCUACAACACAAAUUUAUAUAAUAUGUAUGCACAUGUAAUAUAAGUGAAAACAAUUGAUCGGUGACUCAUCUGCGUAGAAUAAUAUGUUCAGAUAUACGUAUAAUUACGAUGAAAUAUACCAUCACCAGUAACAAAUUUAACUGUUGUUCGUCGCACCUUCCUCGGUGUAUAUACAUUUUACUCUAUGCGUGGUAUGUAUGGUAUGCGAUUUGUGUACAUAUAGGUACAUUACCAUGAUUGUGGGCUUAAAAUAUGAGAGUUAAGUAUUGAAUUCUAUAAUAAUAUAGAAAUACUUGUACAACCAAAAAUGUAUAUAAUUGGUAUCAUAUAUAUUCCAUCACCAGCUGUAGAAAUUAUUACAUUGAUCAAUUGUAGAUAUCUAAAUCAAAUAAAACUCGUUGUGUUAACAGUAUAUAAUAACAAAAUUGUCUUAAUAAGGUCAUACGUUUUUGUAUAAAAUAUAUUUCAUAAACUAUCGUCAAUAAGAUAGAAUAUUAACUUAUGAUAUCCAAGAAAAGUCUCAUACUUAGAAAAGUCCCAUACUAUUAAAAGGCUACAACAAUAUUAAUGUAAAACUAUGUACAACAGCCUGUGUCGACAAAAUAAUAGUCUAUUAAGUUACUAUUAUUAUUACCAACGUCAUUAGAAUUUUUUUUAUGUACUACAGUAAUAAUUACUUUAAUACCUAUUGCUUUGAUUUUCUGUAGUAGGUAACCUACCUUUGAAUAUUAUCAAAAUAACGGUAAAUAUUGUAUAGAAUAAUUAAUAUAUCUUAUAAGCCCUAAAAUAUUUUUAGUAAAGCCUACGAGGAACAACAAUUAUUACAAUGCAUAAUUUAUUUCUUUUAACGAAAAGUCUUGAGGGGUCCCUCGCUACUUACGGCUAUUAUUUAAGGGGUAACAUUUAGGCAAUUUCUAAUUUAAUUUUAGCCGCCCGGGAUCUAUUUGUUAGUUUUAAAUGAUUAUUAGUGUGAGUGAAAUUCAUUACAGGUACCACUCUUUUUCGCGCACGGACAUGUCAAUAACUCUAUAACAGUAUAAAAUUAUCUACAUAUACACAUUUUACGACAACUUAUUAUUGUUUUGACAAAUUUGAAGUUAGUUAACGAUUUUGAUUCUGCAACAAAUAUUUGAAUUGAUUUGGCUGGAUAGUUAUAUAAAUAUGUUAUAACAAUGUUUGAAAAAAAUUCAAAGCAGAAAAUUACUAAUUAGUUACUAUAAUAUAGUACGGUAUUUUGCCAUAAUAGUAAAAAGACAAUAAAGACAAUUUGGUUUAUUCGAUUUUAAGUAGGUAUGAAUAAUCCUUAGAAUUUUUUUAGAGCACCAUAUUGUGACUCAUCGUUAUUCAAUUUACAAUAACAACACACCGUUAACACGCCCGUCCAUAGGUGACCUAUUCAAAGCUGCAGCGUGGCCUACUCCUCAAAUAGCCGGCUUUUAUUUACGGACGAUUCCUUCAUAAUAUAAUACAUACGUAUUAUAAUGUUGAUAACUAUUGAGAACGAAAUAUUAUGUACAAGUACGAUACCGUCAGUGUUUGGUAAGUAACAAAUUGGACGUAUUACAAUAAUAAUAUUAUGACCGUCGUGUAUUAAAUAUAUCUUUUCAAUUAGGCAUACUUAGGUGACCUUUUCAAAGCUGCAGUGACCUGCUAGCUGCUCCUCUAAUAGUCAAUUUUAUUCACGAACCAUUUAUUCAUAACAUUCAUGUAGAACGAUGUUGAUAAUAGGUAUUAUAUUAAGUACAAAAUAUUGUGUUCAUUACAAUGUUAUUUCCGUCGGUGUUUUAUAAGUAACAAAUUUGACGUAUUAUAAUAUAUGACCAUCGUAUAUCUUUUCCUUUACACGAUUUCCCGUAAGAUAAUCUUCUUAUCCACUGAUCAGUGGCGUAGCUGUAUUAUGGGAAAGGGCCCGGGGCAGUUAAAUAAACUAGGCCCCUGACUAAUAUUGUCUUUAUGGAAAUUCAAAAUAUACAUUUACGCAAUAUUGAGGGGCUUCCUGAGUUAUGCCCCUCCUCUGUGAGCUCUGGGGUCUCAGGGCAUCGCACAACUUUGCACUAUGAUAUCUACACUACUGAUAUACGCGUAUCAUAUCACCGUGUUCGUCGUUCUUGAAUUUUUGGGGGAAAGACCCGUAAAACGACACACAGGUGAAAAAUUGUGGGAAUAAAUUAAUCCCACUCACUAUUUUUCAAUGUAAAUGCGAAUGAAAAAAUAAAUUUUUAAAUUGAUGAAUUGAUAUUCACAGCAUUAUUAAUAAUAAUUUCAA